This 65-nucleotide transfer RNA is filed under the name Xixuthrus sp. ANIC_25-067096. RNAcentral describes it as "tRNA-Asp". Lineage: Eukaryota; Metazoa; Arthropoda; Insecta; Coleoptera; Cerambycidae. The record is from RNAcentral.
AAGAGCUUAGUUAAAAAAUAACAUUAACUUGUCAAGUUAAAAUUAUUAUUAGGUAAUAGCCCUUG